RNAcentral lists this non-coding RNA (231 nucleotides) under Agrobacterium albertimagni. The record is from RNAcentral. RNAcentral also lists the same sequence under 1 other name. Lineage: Bacteria; Pseudomonadati; Pseudomonadota; Alphaproteobacteria; Hyphomicrobiales; Rhizobiaceae.
UCCUAUGCAAGCAGUGACGGUUCCCCGCCGGAUGACUCCGAGGGGAUUAAUAGGGAACACGGUGAGGACGACCCAAUAGGGACCAAGACCGUGGCUGCCCCCGCAACUGUAAGCGGAUUGCUGUCCAUUCUCGCGGCGUGAAAGCGCCGGGCCACUGCGGGUCACCGUGGGAAGGCAAAUGGAGAGCGCAUAUCCGUGAGCCAGGAGACCUGCCGUCAAGUGAAGAGAACG